This 66-nucleotide transfer RNA is filed under the name Hygrobia hermanni. RNAcentral's name for it is "tRNA-Tyr". The record is from RNAcentral. Lineage: Eukaryota; Metazoa; Arthropoda; Insecta; Coleoptera; Hygrobiidae.
GGUAAAAUGGCUGAGGAUAGGUAAUAAACUGUAAAUUUAUUUAGGAAAUUUAAUUUUCUUUUACCA